Molecule: ribosomal RNA, 728 nt
Filed under: Lentilactobacillus buchneri
Lineage: Bacteria; Bacillati; Bacillota; Bacilli; Lactobacillales; Lactobacillaceae
Description: bacterial SSU rRNA
Rfam family: Bacterial small subunit ribosomal RNA
Source: RNAcentral
CCGUUAAUGAUUUUAGGUGCUUGCACUUGAAAGAUUUAACAUUGAGACGAGUGGCGAACUGGUGAGUAACACGUGGGUAACCUGCCCUUGAAGUAGGGGAUAACACUUGGAAACAGGUGCUAAUACCGUAUAACAACCAAAACCACCUGGUUUUGGUUUAAAAGACGGCUUCGGCUGUCACUUUAGGAUGGACCCGCGGCGUAUUAGCUUGUUGGUAAGGUAACGGCCUACCAAGGCGAUGAUACGUAGCCGACCUGAGAGGGUAAUCGGCCACAUUGGGACUGAGACACGGCCCAAACUCCUACGGGAGGCAGCAGUAGGGAAUCUUCCACAAUGGACGAAAGUCUGAUGGAGCAACGCCGCGUGAGUGAUGAAGGGUUUCGGCUCGUAAAACUCUGUUGUUGGAGAAGAACAGGUGUCAGAGUAACUGUUGACAUCUUGACGGUAUCCAACCAGAAAGCCACGGCUAACUACGUGCCAGCAGCCGCGGUAAUACGUAGGUGGCAAGCGUUGUCCGGAUUUAUUGGGCGUAAAGCGAGCGCAGGCGGUUUUUUAGGUCUGAUGUGAAAGCCUUCGGCUUAACCGGAGAAGUGCAUCGGAAACCGGGAGACUUGAGUGCAGAAGAGGACAGUGGAACUCCAUGUGUAGCGGUGAAAUGCGUAGAUAUAUGGAAGAACACCAGUGGCGAAGGCGGCUGUCUGGUCUGUAACUGACGCUGAGGCUCGAAA